Molecule: ribosomal RNA, 253 nt
Filed under: uncultured bacterium
Lineage: Bacteria
Description: partial 16S ribosomal RNA
Rfam family: Bacterial small subunit ribosomal RNA
Source: RNAcentral
UACGUAGGCAGCGAGCGUUGUUCGGAAUUUCUGGGCGUAAAGAGUGUGUAGGCGGUGCUCUAAGUUCGGUGUGAAAUCUCCUGGCUUAACUGGGAGGGUGCGCCGGAAACUGGAGUGCUCGAACGUGGGAGAGGAAAGUGGAAUUCCUGGUGUAGCGGUGAAAUGCGUAGAUAUCAGGAGGAACACCGGUGGUGUAGACGGCUUUCUGGACCGUAACUGACGCUGAGACACGAAAGCGUGGGUAGCAAACAGG